GACAGUCAGAGAGGAGAGACGGAGCAGCGUGGCAGACAGGCUGGCUCUGCACAAGCUCCUGGCGGGGACCAGCAGCGCCUGCAAGGGGGUGGAGGGACAGGCGCUCGGGUGGCCCGGGCCGCCGGCCCCUCACGCUGCCCCCGCUCAGCCUUCAUGCUCUCCCCUGCUUUUCCACAGGCAACUGGACAACAACCACAUCAGCUGCAUUGAAGAUGGAGCCUUCCGAGCGCUGCGCGAUUUGGAGAUCCUUACCCUCAACAACAACAACAUCAGUCGCAUCCUGGUCACCAGCUUCAACCACAUGCCGAAGAUCCGAACUCUGCGCCUCCACUCCAACCACCUGUACUGCGACUGCCACCUGGCCUGGCUCUCGGAUUGGCUGCGACAGCGACGGACAGUUGGCCAGUUCACACUCUGCAUGGCUCCUGUGCAUUUGAGGGGCUUCAACGUGGCGGAUGUGCAGAAGAAGGAGUACGUGUGCCCAGCCCCCCACUUGGAGCCCCCAUCCUGCAAUGCCAACUCCAUCUCCUGCCCUUCGCCCUGCACGUGCAGCAAUAACAUCGUGGACUGUCGAGGAAAGGGCUUGAUGGAGAUUCCUGCCAACUUGCCGGAGGGCAUCGUCGAAAUACGCCUAGAACAGAACUCCAUCAAAGCCAUCCCUGCAGGAGCCUUCACCCAGUACAAGAAACUGAAGCGAAUAGACAUCAGCAAGAAUCAGAUAUCGGAUAUUGCUCCAGAUGCCUUCCAGGGCCUGAAAUCACUCACAUCGCUGGUCCUGUAUGGGAACAAGAUCACCGAGAUUGCCAAGGGACUGUUUGAUGGGCUGGUGUCCCUACAGCUGCUCCUCCUCAAUGCCAACAAGAUCAACUGCCUGCGGGUGAACACGUUUCAGGACCUGCAGAACCUCAACUUGCUCUCCCUGUAUGACAACAAGCUGCAGACCAUCAGCAAGGGGCUCUUCGCCCCUCUGCAGUCCAUCCAGACACU
This 987-nucleotide small RNA is filed under the name Pan troglodytes (chimpanzee). Its description in RNAcentral is "retained intron". Lineage: Eukaryota; Metazoa; Chordata; Mammalia; Primates; Hominidae. The record is from RNAcentral.